AGGGAUAUUCCCAGGUGCUAGAGGAAGAGGAAAGGAAGCAGGCUGAUUCAACAAAUCAUUUUUCAAAGUGAAUGCCUUGGUAGUCCAUUUGCCAAAUAAUCAAAAGAGAAAACAGCCAAUUUACAGAGUUUACCUAAUUUGCUAAAACCUUCUAAUAUUUUAAGAUCUCUCAAUAUACAUAGAUGUGUUCUCUGAGGACUUGCUGCUGUCAGUCUGCUGUUGUGCUAAGCACCGUACACAUUGCCUUCUCUUGGUAAGUUACAUGGCACUCACUAAAGCUCACAGAGGUUAAGUAACUUGGCCAGACUCACACAGUAAAUCAGUGGCAGAACUGAAGUUUAAAACCAACUUGUCUGAAUCCAGUAUCUGAUUUCUCAACAACUCUAUACAACCUGCUUUAUAAUAUCUACUGAUUUUUUUAUGUGCUAGACACUGUUCUAGAUUCUGCACAUGAAUUAUAUCAUUUAUUAUUUACAACUCUGAGUUAGCAGAGUCUUUUUCUAGAUGAGAAAACAGAUUCAGAGAAGUUAUACCGCAAGUCCUUUUGGGACUCAUCUGUUCGGAGCCCUCCAGUAGGUUCCCCUUCUACUAAGACAGUCAUCGUAAUGACCUACGGUGGCCAACCCAAUACCUCCCCAUGCUCAUGGCCCACUGCCCUUGGCUCUCCUCCCUUUCCACUCUCACUCAAGCUGACUAUUCUUUGAAUUCGCCUAGUGCACUCGUACAUAUCCCUCUGCCUAAGAUCUUCCUCCUUCAGGGUUCACUCACAUGUCACCUUAUUCCAAGAGGUCUGGGGUGGUGGUG
This is a non-coding RNA of Callorhinus ursinus (northern fur seal), 804 nucleotides long. The record is from RefSeq and is a predicted model, not a curated record. Lineage: Eukaryota; Metazoa; Chordata; Mammalia; Carnivora; Otariidae.